This 826-nucleotide ribosomal RNA is filed under the name Acinetobacter baumannii. RNAcentral describes it as "bacterial SSU rRNA". It matches the Rfam family "Bacterial small subunit ribosomal RNA", at positions 77 to 898 of the family's 1533-position model. The record is from RNAcentral. Lineage: Bacteria; Pseudomonadati; Pseudomonadota; Gammaproteobacteria; Moraxellales; Moraxellaceae.
AGCUUGCUACUGGACCUAGCGGCGGACGGGUGAGUAAUGCUUAGGAAUCUGCCUAUUAGUGGGGGACAACAUCUCGAAAGGGAUGCUAAUACCGCAUACGUCCUACGGGAGAAAGCAGGGGAUCUUCGGACCUUGCGCUAAUAGAUGAGCCUAAGUCGGAUUAGCUAGUUGGUGGGGUAAAGGCCUACCAAGGCGACGAUCUGUAGCGGGUCUGAGAGGAUGAUCCGCCACACUGGGACUGAGACACGGCCCAGACUCCUACGGGAGGCAGCAGUGGGGAAUAUUGGACAAUGGGGGGAACCCUGAUCCAGCCAUGCCGCGUGUGUGAAGAAGGCCUUAUGGUUGUAAAGCACUUUAAGCGAGGAGGAGGCUACUUUAGUUAAUACCUAGAGAUAGUGGACGUUACUCGCAGAAUAAGCACCGGCUAACUCUGUGCCAGCAGCCGCGGUAAUACAGAGGGUGCGAGCGUUAAUCGGAUUUACUGGGCGUAAAGCGUGCGUAGGCGGCUUAUUAAGUCGGAUGUGAAAUCCCCGAGCUUAACUUGGGAAUUGCAUUCGAUACUGGUGAGCUAGAGUAUGGGAGAGGAUGGUAGAAUUCCAGGUGUAGCGGUGAAAUGCGUAGAGAUCUGGAGGAAUACCGAUGGCGAAGGCAGCCAUCUGGCCUAAUACUGACGCUGAGGUACGAAAGCAUGGGGAGCAAACAGGAUUAGAUACCCUGGUAGUCCAUGCCGUAAACGAUGUCUACUAGCCGUUGGGGCCUUUGAGGCUUUAGUGGCGCAGCUAACGCGAUAAGUAGACCGCCUGGGGAGUACGGUCGCAAGACUAAA